ACUAAACAGCUAGCCCACCUACCUUAGGUAAUACUACAAUAAAAAUAUCUUUUUAGACCUCACGUAUAAACAACAAACCAUUUUUCCCCCUUAGUAUAGGCGAUAGAAAAGGAAUACUUUGGAGCGAUAGAAAAAGUACCGCAAGGGAAAGCUGAAAGAGAAAUGAAAAAACUUUCUAAAGUUAAAAAAAGCAGAGCUUACCCCUUGUACCUUUUGCAUCAUGAUUAAGCCAGUAACCUGAAGCAAAGAGCCCUUUAGAUUUUUACCCCGAAACUAGACGAGCUACUCCGAGACAACCUAUUUUAGGGUAAACCCGUCUCUGUGGCAAAAGAGUGGGAUGAGCUCCGAGUAGAGGUGACAAACCUACCGAGCCUAGUUAUAGCUGGUUUCCUGGGAAAUGGAUUUAAGUUCAGCCCCUCCCCCUUCCUACCCGUUCUUCUAUGUAAAACCCCUAGGAAACCAACGAGGGAGUUAAUCAAACAAGGUACAGCUUCUUUGAUUGAAGAUACAACUUUUUUAGGUGGCUAAAGAUCAUACUAAAAUCUAAAGGAAAAUUGUUUAGGUGGGCCUAAAAGCAGCCACCCCUAAAGAAAGCGUUAAAGCUCACACAAAUCCUUACUUACCCUCUUAUUUUUGUAUAAAUAUCUUACCCCCCUUUUUUCUACCAGGCCGUUUCAUGCCCUCAUGAAAAAGACCAUGCUUAAAUGAGUAAUAAGAGAAUAAAAUUUUCUCCCCACACAUGUGUAAGUCGAAACGGACCCCCCAUCGACAAUUAACGACCCCAACCAAAGAGGGCAUUGAGUAAUAACUCAGAUAACAAGAAAACUACUCAUCCACUUUAUCGUUAACCCCACACAGGAGUGCCCCAAGGAAAGACUGAAAGGUUAAGGAAGGAACUCGGCAAACACAAGCCUCGCCUGUUUACCAAAAACAUCGCCUCUUGACUCCCUAAAAAUAAGAGGUCCCGCCUGCCCAGUGACUUUAUAGAUAAACGGCCGCGGUAUUCUAACCGUGCAAAGGUAGCGCAAUCACUUGCCCCUUAAAUAGGGGCCCGUAUGAAUGGCAUCACGAGGGCUUAACUGUCUCCCCCGCCUAGUCAAUGAAAUUGAUCUCCCCGUGCAGAAGCGGGGCUAAAACCAUAAGACGAGAAGACCCUAUGGAGCUUUAGACACUUAACGGCCCAUUAAAGCAAUUCAGUAUAAAGAAUAAAAGCCUUAUGACCCCCGUUUUUAUGUCUUUGGUUGGGGCGACCCUGGGGUAAAAAACAACCCCCAUGAGGACUGGGGCAUCUCCCUCCUCCCCCAAGCUUAUACCCACCGCUCUAAGCAUCAGAACCUCUGACCUAUAAAUGACCCGGCUUACCCGCCGAUCAACGGACCGAGUUACCCUAGGGAUAACAGCGCAAUCCUCUCCCAGAGCCCCUAUCGACGAGAGGGUUUACGACCUCGAUGUUGGAUCAGGACAUCCUAAUGGUGCAACCGCUAUUAAGGGUUCGUUUGUUCAACGAUUAAAGUCCUACGUGAUCUGAGUUCAGACCGGAGUAAUCCAGGUCAGUUUCUAUCUAUGGAAAUGACCUUCCCUAGUACGAAAGGACCGGGAAAACGAGGCCCAUGUUAACAACAUGCCUCUCCCUCACCUGAAGAAAACAACUAAAACAGGUAAGAGGGCAUAUCCAAAAACUGCCAAAGAAAAUGGCAA
This 1698-nucleotide ribosomal RNA is filed under the name Paraulopus oblongus. Its description in RNAcentral is "16S rRNA". It matches the Rfam family "Bacterial large subunit ribosomal RNA". The record is from RNAcentral. Lineage: Eukaryota; Metazoa; Chordata; Actinopteri; Aulopiformes; Paraulopidae.